GUGGGGAAUUUUGGACAAUGGGCGCAAGCCUGAUCCAGCAAUGCCGCGUGCAGGAAGAAGGCCUUCGGGUUGUAAACUGCUUUUGUACGGAACGAAAAGGCUCUGGUUAAUACCUGGGGCUCAUGACGGUACCGUAAGAAUAAGCACCGGCUAACUACGUGCCAGCAGCCGCGGUAAUACGUAGGGUGCAAGCGUUAAUCGGAAUUACUGGGCGUAAAGCGUGCGCAGGCGGUUUUGUAAGACAGAGGUGAAAUCCCCGGGCUCAACCUGGGAAUUGCCUUUGUGACUGCAAGGCUGGAGUGCGGCAGAGGGGGAUGGAAUUCCGCGUGUAGCAGUGAAAUGCGUAGAUAUGCGGAGGAACACCGAUGGCGAAGGCAAUCCCCUGGGCCUGCACUGACGCUCAUGCACGAAAGCGUGGGGAGCAAACAGGAUUAGAAACCCUUGUAGUCC
RNAcentral lists this ribosomal RNA (450 nucleotides) under uncultured bacterium. RNAcentral's name for it is "partial 16S ribosomal RNA". It matches the Rfam family "Bacterial small subunit ribosomal RNA", at positions 354 to 796 of the family's 1533-position model. The record is from RNAcentral.